UACGGGGGGGGUAAGCGUUGUUCGGAAUUACUGGGCGUAAAGGGCUCGUAGGCGGCCAACUAAGUCAUACGGGAAAUCCCUCAGCUUAACUGGGGAACUGCGUGUGAUACUGGAUGGCUUGGAUUUGGGAGAGGGAUGCGGAAUUCCAGGUGUAGCGGUGAAAUGCGUAGAUAUCUGGAGGAACACCAAUUGCGAAGGCAGCUCGCUGGGACGUUACUGACGCUGAGACGCGAAAGCGUGGGGAGCAAACAGG
This 253-nucleotide ribosomal RNA is filed under the name uncultured bacterium. RNAcentral describes it as "partial 16S ribosomal RNA". It matches the Rfam family "Bacterial small subunit ribosomal RNA", at positions 524 to 776 of the family's 1533-position model. The record is from RNAcentral.